Molecule: non-coding RNA, 113 nt
Organism: Pelobates cultripes (western spadefoot toad)
Lineage: Eukaryota; Metazoa; Chordata; Amphibia; Anura; Pelobatidae
Source: the annotation of a GenBank genome assembly
CAGUUUCUCUGUGUGUGUGUGUAUUUAGCAGUCUGUCUGUAUUUAGUAGACUGCUGAAUACACACCAGACUGCUGAGUACACACAGACUGCUAAAUACACACACACACACACA